Molecule: ribosomal RNA, 465 nt
Filed under: Vreelandella stevensii
Lineage: Bacteria; Pseudomonadati; Pseudomonadota; Gammaproteobacteria; Oceanospirillales; Halomonadaceae
Description: partial 16S ribosomal RNA
Rfam family: Bacterial small subunit ribosomal RNA
Source: RNAcentral
CCUACGGGAGGCAGCAGUGGGGAAUAUUGGACAAUGGGGGGAACCCUGAUCCAGCCAUGCCGCGUGUGUGAAGAAGGCCCUCGGGUUGUAAAGCACUUUCAGUGAGGAAGAACGCCUGGUGGUUAAUACCCAUCAGGAAAGACAUCACUCACAGAAGAAGCACCGGCUAACUCCGUGCCAGCAGCCGCGGUAAUACGGAGGGUGCGAGCGUUAAUCGGAAUUACUGGGCGUAAAGCGCGCGUAGGUGGCUUGAUAAGCCGGUUGUGAAAGCCCCGGGCUCAACCUGGGAACGGCAUCCGGAACUGUCAAGCUAGAGUGCAGGAGAGGAAGGUAGAAGCCCCGGUGUAGCGGUGAAAUGCGUAGAGAUCGGGAGGAAUACCAGUGGCGAAGGCGGCCUUCUGGACUGACACUGACACUGAGGUGCGAAAGCGUGGGUAGCAAACAGGAUUAGAUACCCGGGUAGUC